Molecule: ribosomal RNA, 291 nt
Filed under: Triticum aestivum (bread wheat)
Lineage: Eukaryota; Viridiplantae; Streptophyta; Magnoliopsida; Poales; Poaceae
Description: partial small subunit ribosomal RNA
Source: RNAcentral
AUGUUGAUGCAAGACUACUUUGCGGACAAUCCAACAUAUCCACUGCACCUCUUUCGGAGAAGGUACCGAAUGCGUUGAUCCCUCUUUGUAAAAAUAGUGCAAGCUUGCGAGGCCAAUUGUCGGUAUUUUACUCAAAGAAGAAAUGCCGCGGGCUUGAAGGGAUUUAGUGCAUAUCAAAAAAUCUCGGCAGCUUUGCGGGUAAUUGCAUACGGCAUUCCGGCUGACUAUGCCGAUGAAUACCUUUGGGUGAAGAUACUACAAUUGAGUCAGUGCGUAGGUUUGUCAAAGUGA